Molecule: ribosomal RNA, 253 nt
Filed under: uncultured bacterium
Lineage: Bacteria
Description: partial 16S ribosomal RNA
Rfam family: Bacterial small subunit ribosomal RNA
Source: RNAcentral
UACGAAGGGGGCUAGCGUUGCUCGGAUUGACUGGGCGUAAAGGGCGCGUAGGCGGUUCGUACAGUCAGACGUGAAAUUCCUGGGCUCAACCUGGGGGCUGCGUUUGAUACGUGCGGACUUGAGUGCGGAAGAGGGUCGUGGAAUUCCCAGUGUAGAGGUGAAAUUCGUAGAUAUUAGGAAGAACACCGGUGGCGAAGGCGGCGACCUGGUCCGAUACUGACGCUGAGGCGCGAAAGCGUGGGGAGCAAACAGG